AUACCUUUCUCUGCCUUUUUGCUAAGAUCAAGUGUAACAUCUGUUUUUAUCAGUUUAAUAGCUGAUAUGGGCCACGUGUCCAAUUUUUUGUGCGAGCGUAGUUUGUUGAUAGCUCCCUCCCACAAAAAAUUAGGUUAAUAGCAUUGGCACAUGUGUCGUACCACCUUAGAUUGU
This 174-nucleotide small nuclear RNA is filed under the name Selaginella moellendorffii. Its description in RNAcentral is "snRNA U2". The stretch from base 1 to 117 matches the Rfam family "U2 spliceosomal RNA". Rfam says of the family: U2 is a small nuclear RNA (snRNA) component of the spliceosome (involved in pre-mRNA splicing). Lineage: Eukaryota; Viridiplantae; Streptophyta; Lycopodiopsida; Selaginellales; Selaginellaceae. The record is from RNAcentral.